Long non-coding RNA from Cydia pomonella (codling moth), 3450 nucleotides. RefSeq lists it as uncharacterized. The record is from RefSeq and is a predicted model, not a curated record. The transcript has 2 exons. Lineage: Eukaryota; Metazoa; Arthropoda; Insecta; Lepidoptera; Tortricidae.
UCGUAUAAUAUAACUGGAGUCAAAUCAUUGCAGGGACCAAAAUAAAACCAUUUAAUGAGUUAAUUAAUUGUAGUUAAUUACGCUUUAACUUUUCUACUCAACGCCAGAUGUCGCUCUACAGCAAAAUUCUACUUGACGUAAAACAUUUAUACAUAGCGGUAAUCUCGUCAGUCUUACUCCAUCAUUUUAAAAAGUAUAGACUAGUUUAUGGAUUUCUAAAGUUAUGUCAAGAUGACUCUGAAUGUAAUAUUGUCAACAAUAAUUGUCAAAGCACGCAAUUUAAAAUAUUCCACAUUGUAAUUACAAAAUAGUAUAUUUCUAAUACGCUAUAAUUUUCUCCAAUCGAAAGGCACUCCAUUCCAUUGAUCUCAGAGAGUAUGCUCCUUGAUGAUCUUCACUAUUCAUGGGGUAGAAACCAUACGGCAAUAAUGAGGAUGCAUCGACAUAAGAAGAAUCGAACAUGGGCAAGAUAAAGUUCAAGAAAAAAGCAAAUAUAAUGUGUACUUGUGUGUAGUCAAAGAAAGUUGAAAAAUAAAGCAUAAGUAAUGGCCAUAGAAUACAGAACCGAUACACGAACAUUAAGACUAUUAAAAAUAGACAUAUAGGUUGAUCGUACUACUCGUACUAAUGUAUUUCUUUUGUUCAAUUAUAUUAUUGCAUUAAAGUUAGAUUCUCUAGGUAUAUAUUAUUCAUAGGUUCUGUAUUCUAUACGAAUUGUUUUAGUGUAAUUAUUGUACUAAAUACCGUUGACCGCCUGUCAACAGUAUUUAUUUCUACAUUACUAUCACAGAAGAUUUUAGGCCCUACAGUAGUUUUUGAAUUAGUAUUUACUAUGGACAAAUAUAGCGAAAUGUGAGUUUUUACCUAAAAUAUCAAUCUUUUGUGAACGUGGUGUAGAGUAUAUACCGCCUAAGACUGAAGUAGCUACGCGGGCAACGUUUUCAAAAUAGAAUCGUGUUCAUGGUCGGCCCAUGGUAAAAAUAAUUAGGUUAAAAAACACUUAAAAUAAACCCCGUGGACCUACCAGGAGAACAUAUUGGAGAGACUAGAGAUAAUACACCGCUUUAAGGGCGGUCGCACUCGGCAUUGACAUCUGGCGUCUAGAUGGCGGGUGGACUUCAGCGAAUUUCAAAGAAAUAUUUAUAAACAUCCAAUGACGUUCAGCUCGGACACCAGAUCUUCAAUCUCCUGAUUCCUGUGGAGUCUCCAGGUUCCAUCCUCUCCACGUGUGAGUCCUAGGAUUUUUCGCGCUGCCAGACUCCGAUGACUCGGGCACGUAGUCCAGAUGGGUGAGGAUCGUGCAGCCUGGAGGGCGUACUCUGAAGUUCCAAAUGGCCGAAGACCGUCUAGACGUCCUAGGUAGGUCCCGCUGGAGAGACGAAAUGCAAAAAGACCUUAGCGAACUCGGCGCCGUCGACUAGAUGGAAACGGUUUUGGACAGAGAAGCAUGGCGGUCUUUGGUGUCGGAGGCCAAGAUCCACUUCGGGUCUCUGCGCCAUAGCAGUAAGUAAGUAUUUAUAAACAUACUGUACCUUCUGUGUACCUAACCCAAAACGAGAGAAAGUCCACCCGCCAUUCUGACGUCAGGAUUGCGGUUGGACCUAUGAAAUCUUGCAUUAUACCGCACUAAAAGUAUGCAGUUAUAUGGUACAGUCGCCAUCAGAUAUCGGAGUGGCCGAAGUGCUCAAAGAUAUCUAAACACGCACUCUAACCUCUUGACAGUAGAGGCAUGUUCAGAUAUUCGUGGGUACCUUGGCCGCUCCGAUAUAUAUGAUGGUGACUGUACCUUCAGUGUACCUCUGUAAAUAGAAAUAGAAACCGGUGUACUGCAUACUUUUAGUGCGGUAUAAUGCAAGAUUUCAUAGGUCCACCCGCCAUCCUGACGUCAGGUUGGCGAGUGGACCGUUUUGUAAAAUAUCUCGUUUUGGGGAAAGGUACACUGGUUUCUAUUAAAGGUACACUGAGGUACACAGAAGGUACAAUAUAUUUAUAAAUAUUUCUUUGAAAUUCGCUGAGGUCCACCGCCAUCCUGACGCUUACCAUAUAUCUAAGGACCGACCUUAGGGGCAAUAACGAUAGUGCUAGUUCAGUUGUGUCAUUCACAAAUUCGAGCCAAUCGUGCUGUCUAACGCAACUAGAUGCGAUCAAUCGCGUGCGUAAUGCGAACUCAUCAACCAAUCACGUUGUGGUACUUGUGGCGUUAGACUGCACGAUUGGUUCCAACUCGUGUGCGUAACACCGCUGUACUGGCCCCAUUCUUAUUGCCCGUAAGGCCCGUCCUCAGAUAUAUUAUGUCAAUGACACAGUCGCGAUUUUAAAAAAUCACAUCGCUUCUGCUACCAAAUUGUUGAGCAUAACGUUUUCCUAUCCAUAGGUUCCAUCUGUCCAGUAGGAUCCACCAUCUCGAUCCACCAGAUUGAAGAGAUUGUUACUUAACUGAUGGAUCGAGAUAAUGAAACCUACUGAAUAGAGCGGGUCGAUUGGAUAUACCAAAGUACGCUUAUAUGAAACGCUACUCCGGUGUGCGAGUGAGACAGUCAGGCCAAUUUGAACUUGCAUUUGACAGAAAACUGAUUGUCUCCAUCAAACGCUACCAGUUCCAUUGCCGGCCUCUUCGCUGCCUUCUAUAGUGGUUCAAUCUUACCUUGCUUAUGAAUAAAAAGGAGCGUGCACAGCACCGAUAUUAGAGUAAUAUUGGAAUCAUAUCAGUUAGUUGCGGGCGUCUCGCUCGCACAAAUACAUGCCUAUAAGUGCGAAAUGAACGCACGAAUGACAGCUAACUGGUAUCAUUCCAAUUACGGAAGGUGGAGGUAAGGAAAUAAAUCUCCAUGUACCAAAAAGUGUCAUCAAAAAACAUUAAAUAGGUGGCGCUACAAUACCUAGAAUACUUGAACAAAAAAAUCAAAUCAUAGACAGCGCACUUCACUCCGUCAAUAGCGCCCAGGUUCUUAGCUACUCUAGCGCUACUCCGGAGAGAUUUGGAACUAUUAUUUAUAGCUGACAGCUGGACUCUUUUGCAACAGUUCUACCAUAAGAGAUGACACCCAUAAUUCCAAUAUUAUUCUAAAAUUGGUUUAAUGUCAGUUGCACUUUCGAAUUGGCCUACAUAGCGAUUUCCUUAGCCUGCAGACGUUGACGUUCAAAAGGUUAACCCUUUACCAGGCCCCGAAGAACCAGCGUGUCUUAAUACGUACUUUAUAUGCUGUUGCAACCGUAUUGAACGCCUUGUAAAAAAUGUAUUUAUGAAAGUCGGAGAUCUUCCUUUAAACCAGAAAUAAAAAUGUGGGUUACGGUUAUCCCAUCGCCUGUCUAAGUAAUGAACUGUCAUACUAGAUUUUGUCUUAUUAUAUUCUUGAUCAGGCCAAGGGAUAUAUUCCAACCACAUCUUAUAUCGGUUAUAAUAGUCAAGGUUUAACUCCAAAUCUCCUACGAAACAUUAUAUCAAUCACU